RNAcentral lists this ribosomal RNA (82 nucleotides) under Photobacterium phosphoreum. RNAcentral's name for it is "partial 16S ribosomal RNA". It matches the Rfam family "Bacterial small subunit ribosomal RNA", at positions 1 to 80 of the family's 1533-position model. The record is from RNAcentral. Lineage: Bacteria; Pseudomonadati; Pseudomonadota; Gammaproteobacteria; Vibrionales; Vibrionaceae.
UUUAAUUGAAGAGUUUGAUCAUGGCUCAGAUUGAACGCUGGCGGCAGGCCUAACACAUGCAAGUCGAGCGGUAACAGAUUGA